GAUGAACGCUGGCGGCGUGCCUAACACAUGCAAGUCGAGCGAACGGACGAGAAGUUUGUGUUUUUGUCGUUAGCGGCGGACGGGUGUGUAACAUGUGUAUAACCCACUUAUAUUUCGGGGAUAAUCACGGGACACCGGAGCAAACACCGGAGAAUAUCCUGAACCGCAGGGUUCAAUGGAGAAUGACGGCGUUGCUGUCUCUUCUAGCGGCUUACCCGCUGGAUUGGCUAGUUGGUAGGGUCACGGCUUAUCAAGGCAACGAUGCAUAGCCGAGCUGAGAGGGUGGUCGGCCACACUAGAGCUGGGACACGGUCCAGACUCCUGCGGGAGGGAGCAGUAGGGUAUCUUCGGCAAUGGGCGGAAGCCUGGCGGAGCGACGCCGCGUGAGUGAUGAAAGUCUUCGGAUCGUGAAGCUCUGUUAUGAGGGAAGAACAGAUGUGUAAGUAACUGUAGACAGCUUGACGGUACCUGGUCAAGAAGCAACGGCUAACUACGUG
This 497-nucleotide ribosomal RNA is filed under the name uncultured bacterium. RNAcentral's name for it is "partial 16S ribosomal RNA". It matches the Rfam family "Bacterial small subunit ribosomal RNA", at positions 28 to 507 of the family's 1533-position model. The record is from RNAcentral.